GAUGAAGAACGUAGUGAAAUGCGAUACUUGGUGUGAAUUGCAGAAUCCCGCGAAUCAUCGAGUUUUUGAACGCAAGUUGCGCCCGAAGCCAUUCGGCCGAGGGCACGUCUGCCUGGGUGUCACGCAUCGUUGCCCCCCCAAACUCCGGUUCGGGCGGGGCGGAAGUUGGCCUCCCGUGCGUGCCUGCGCGCGCGGUUAGCCCAAAAGCGAGUCCUCGGCGAUGAGCGCCACGACAAUCGGUGGUUUUUUUACCCUCGUUCCUCGUCGUGCGUGCCCCGUCGCCCGAACGCGCUCUUGCAACCCUUACGCGUCGCCUCGGUGGCGCUCCCAACGCGACCCCAGGUCAGGCGGGACUACCCGCUGAGUUUAAGCAUAUCAAUAAGCGGAGGA
Molecule: unclassified non-coding RNA, 390 nt
Filed under: soil metagenome
Description: partial contains 5.8S ribosomal RNA, internal transcribed spacer 2, and large subunit ribosomal RNA
Rfam family: 5.8S ribosomal RNA (bases 1-122)
Source: RNAcentral